GAAAACAUGAAGACUCUCUUCUACUCCAAAAUAACAUCGUGGACAGCGGGCAGUUGAAUUAACCCUCCUCAACCUGAGAUUACCAAAGUGAGGGAUAUAAUCCCAUGAAAUCCUCCAGAUUGUAAUUGCAAUUUUUGAAGGCAAUUGUAGGCUCCAUAAUUUUUUGUAAAAAUUUCUUAUUUCGGUCUGUAAUAGGUAGUCAUUAGCUGUAGAAGCAUCUUGUAGUAGUUUAUACGCACUACGUACUGAAAACUCACCAGAUAGUUCUCCACUCCACACCUGAAUAUCCUCAUGUUCGGUCUCUGCCAGAGGAAUUUGUAGAAUCUUCCGAGCAGUAUCUUCUUGAAAGGUACUUUUAAUUAAGUCUGACUUCCAUUUUCUACUUGAAUUGUCAAUGAGGUCUGAAACUAACUGUAAUUCUCUUCUGUUUGUGCUAUUAAGCUCAGCCACCUUGUCAAUCCCCUGAAUCCAGUUGUCUUCCCAGAUAGAAAUGCUACUCCCUUUACCAACUCUCCAACCCAAUCCUCUUUGGAGAAGUCCUUUUGCCGCCCAGAUGCUCUUCCAGGUAAAUGAAGGUAAAUUCCCCAACUCUGCGUUUAAAAAACUGGACUGUGGAAAAUAUUUAGCCUUCAAAACUCUGGCUAAUAAAGAAUUUGGGAAAUUAAUGAGACGCCAACCUUGUUUAGCUAAUAACGCAAUAUUAAAUUGACUAAGAUCUCGAAAGCCUAGACCAUCAUUUUCUUUUAACGAACAAAGGUUUUUCCAAGUGCACCAAUGAAUUCCCCUUUUGCCCCCUCCUUUUUGCCACCAGAAUCUUGCUAUAAUACUCUCCAUUUCAUCACAAAGAGCUCUCGGCAGUAAGAAACAUGCCAUAGAAUAAGUCGGAAUAGCUUGCAAAAUGGCCUUUAUAAAAAUUUCUUUCCCUCAUUGUGAUAAAAAUCUGUUGCUCCAGUUAUCAAUACGUUUUUUGAUUCGAUCCUUUAAACUCUGAAAAGCUUCUUUUUUCUUUCGCCCCACCAUAUUCGGUAGCCCUAGAUAUCGUUCAGGUUCACUAGUCCUACGUACCCCCAACACAUCAACCACUUGUCUCCUAUCCUCCUCCAACGUGUUUUUACUAAAGAAUACCGUUGAUUUAUCAAAAUUUACACAUUGUCCCGAGCAAACUUUGAAUUCACACAAAAUAUCCUUUAUGAUGUUUGCACCCCUGCUAGUUGCCUCUCCAAACAGUAUGCAGUCAUCAGCAAAUAAAAGAUGAGAUACCUGUGGACCGUAUCUACUCACCCGUACUCCUUUGAGACGAUCUCUCUUCAUUGCUAACCUCAGCAAGCUCGAUAAACCUUCACCACAUAUCAGGAAUAAAAACGGGCUUAAUGGGUCCCCUUGUCUAAGUCCUCUGGUUGGUACAAAUUUAUCUCCUCUGUACCCAUUUAUGACAACUGAAUAAGCAACAGAUGACACACAUUUCAUAAUGGCAUUUACCCAACUAAAAUCAAACCCCAUCUUUUUCAUGACCUCCUCUAUAAGUUUCCAUUCUACCCUGUCAUAAGCUUGCUCAUAUCGAGUUUAACGGCCAUAAAUCUUUUUUUCCCCGUUCUCUUUUGCUUUAACUUGUGCAAUAUUUCGUAAGUGAGUAAUACAUUAUCUGAUAUUAACCUGCCUGGCACAAAAGCACUUUGCGCUUCAUCAAUACAUUUGCCAAUAACACUUCGAAAUCUGUUUGCAAGUACCUUUGCAAUAAUUUUGUAAAGUACAUUGCAUAGACUAAUUGGCCUAAAUUGCAUCAUAGUUGAUGGAUUGCUGACUUUGGGAAUAAGCACUAUAUUUGUGGAAUUUAUUGGACUAAUCUCCAUAUUUCCGUUUAAAAUUUGUAGACAAAAAGAUAGGACGUCAUCCCCAACAAUCUGCCAACACUUCUGAUAGAAUAAUGCUGGAAAUCCAUCCUCCCCUGGUGCUUUUGUAGGUCCCAUUUCAAAAACAGCUUCUCUAAUUUCCUCUCUGGAAUAUGGUUCUGUAAGUUUUCGGUUGUCAUCCGCAUGAAUGCAGCGUUCUAUCCCUGAUAGAAUAUGAUCAUAAUUCCCAUUCUCUCUUACCGAAAAUAAAUUCUGAAAAUAAGACUUAGCCACACCCUCAAUGUCUUGAAUGAGCUCCAUUUCUCUACCCUCUUCAUCUUUCAGCUUAUGAAUGAGAUUCUUUUUUCUCCGUUGUGAAGUUUGGCUAUGAAAGAAAGCAGUAUUUUUGUCCCCUAAUUUCAACCAGUUAAUUCUAGCUCUCUGUUCCCAAUAGCAUUCGUCCUUCUCAAUCUCAAAAUUCAAGUUUAUUUUUGUAUCAAUCAAUUCAGCUAAGGUCUCUUCAUUUCUGGUUGCUUCAGCUAACUCGCCAAGUUUCUUCGUAAGCAUCUGUUUUGUCUUCUGCCUAUUUUUUUAACUGCCCAGCCCAAAUCUGCAAUCCUUUCUUUAAAUUAUCCAGCCUCUUUAAUAUUUCCUCUGACGAAUUCUCCCAUAGUUUUUUGACUUCUUCCAUGAAAGAUUCUUCCAACAGCCACCAUGCUUCAAAUCUGAAAUUGUUAUCCCUUACUCGUUCUGCAAAUCUCCUGGUAUUAAUAAGAAGAGGACAAUGGUCUGAAAAUGAAUGAGCAAGAUGUUGAACUUUAAUUUCUGGAAACAUAACAAUCCAAUUUGUGUUAGCUACUCCUCUGUCCAAACGUUCUUGGAUGUUCGUCUCUGGUAAGUUGCCUCUCUCCCAAGUAAAACGCCUGCCCUCAAAACCCACAUCAUUCAAUCGGCAUUCCUCUAAUGUUUUCCUAAAAAUUUCCAUCAUUCUUUCAUCCCUAGGUAACCCUCCUUUUUUUUCAAAUCCAUACAUAAUUUCAUUGAAGUCUCCGCAAACCAACCAAGGGGUUUCUCUAUCAUUAGCUAAACUUUUCAAAACCUCCCACGAAUCAUUCCUAUCCUGUAUGUAUGGGGAACCAUAAAAUCCUGUAAAUCUCCAAUUAAUUCCUUUUUCCUUAUCUUCAACGAUCACAUCAAUAUGUCUUUUAGAGUAACUACGAAGCAUAACUUCAAUGUCAGUUCGCCAAGCUAAGCACAACCCUCCUCUCGUACCUUCAGAUUCUACUUCGAUUCCAUUUGCGAAACCACACCUCCUGCGAGUAAUUUCCAUUUGUUUCUUAUUAAUUUUAGUCUCCAUAAAGAAGACUAUUUGGGGAUUAUUAAUUUUCAGCAAAUGCCGAAGUCUUCUAACCGUCCGUUGUCUCCCCAAACCACGGACGUUCCAGCUUAAGAUUUUCAUUGUGCCCGGUCGGCAUGCCUUUUGGCAGCCGCCGAUAUUAGAGAAUGUACGCCUUCCAUCUCCCCUCUAUUUCUCUUUUUUCCUUCCUCCCCUAUUAAAGUUUCAUCUUCCAAAUCAUGCUCCAUAGCCAUUUGCAUCUGAUAAGACCAGAUUUUAUUUCUCUGUUGUUCUUCAUGUGUUGCCCUCCCCUCAAGGCUAAUCCCUAAUAUUGGAUCAAUAGCUUUGCCCCUCUUUCCUUUUGAAGCCUCAUUCUGCUCGUUUAACCCGUCAAACCUACUCUCCAUCCAGCAUUCUCCAAGUUUCCCUUCCCCCUCCUCUCGCAGCCAAAUGCUAUUCAUUGAUAGAGCUCUUCGAGAUGGUGCCCGUAAUGUUAAAUCCCAUCCCAUUUCAGCAAUCUCCCCUCCAACCCUCAUUCUCUCUUCACAGAAAGAGUCAUUAUGACCUAAACGUCCACAGAAAAAACAAAACAGCGAUAGACGCUCAUACUUAAAUUUAACAUAUGAGUAUAUCCCACCAAACAUAAUCUGUUUCUUUCUUUUCAAAGGUUUCCUAAUAUCAAUCUGCACUCUUAUUCUCAUAAAAUUAUGAGUCUCCUUUCCCAACUUAGAUACAUCGUACUCCAUGAAAACUCCAAUAAAAUUGCCCAGCUGUGUUGCUAGGCUUUCAGUAAAUAAACCUAUUGGGACAUCAUGAAUUUGUACCCAAAAAGGACUAAAAAUUAGUGGUACCGUCAAUGGAUUUUCUCCCCUUCUCAGUUUGCAGAGUAUUAAUAAAUGAUUAUUAAAAGUCCACGGUAAACUCUUCAGAACUCUUUCCAAAUCCAUACUGUGAAAAAAUUUAAAAAGGUACCUUUUUUCUCCCAGAUCUCGAAUUUGUACCCCACAGACAGGGUGCCACAAAUUUGCCAUGGUGCUUUUCAUAGCUGGAAAGUGAAUUAUGCUUGCUGUUAGAAAACAACCUACAAGCUGAAAAUCUUCACGUUCUUUUUGCAUGCAUGGAUCAGUCUGGAUCUGUAAAAUUUCCUCUUCUUCUUCAUUGAGCGACAAUUGUGCUAAUUCUGUUUCCAUGAUUGCAGGAAUUGAUGUUCAGAAAAACUCUCCCGUCCUCCCUAUCGUCUGAGCAAAAUUGUAUUCAAGCCGAUUUCAAGAAAAAAGAACAAAAGCAAUCUACGAAA
RNAcentral lists this long non-coding RNA (4462 nucleotides) under Gossypium raimondii (Peruvian cotton). Its description in RNAcentral is "long non-coding RNA (GRAI_LNC006817)". Lineage: Eukaryota; Viridiplantae; Streptophyta; Magnoliopsida; Malvales; Malvaceae. The record is from RNAcentral.